UACGGAGGGUGCAAGCAUUAAUCGGAUUUAUUGGGCGUAAAGAGUGCGUAGGCGGGAAAAUAAGUCGGACGUGAAAUCCCGGGGCUCAACCCCGGAACAGCAUCUGAAACUAUUUUUCUUGAGGUUAGUCGGAGAAAACGGAAUUCCACAAGUAGCGGUGAAAUGCGUAGAUAUGUGGAAGAACACCUGUGGCGAAAGCGGUUUUCUAGAUUAUACCUGACGCUGAGGCACGAAAGCAAGGGGAUCAAACAGG
Molecule: ribosomal RNA, 253 nt
Filed under: uncultured bacterium
Lineage: Bacteria
Description: partial 16S ribosomal RNA
Rfam family: Bacterial small subunit ribosomal RNA
Source: RNAcentral